CGCGUAGGCGGACAGCCAAGUCUGUGGUGAAAUCUUUCGGCUUAACCGGAAAACUGCCGUGGAUACUGGCUGUCUUGAGGGAGGUAGGGGCCUGUGGAACUUCCGGUGGAGCGGUGAAAUGCGUUGAUAUCGGAAGGAACGCCGGUGGCGAAAGCGGCGGGCUGGAUCUCUUCUGACGCUGAGGCGCGAAAGCUAGGGGAGCAAACGGGAUUAGAUACCCCGGUAGUCCUAGCCCUAAACGAUGGGUACUAGGUAGUGGACUUGACAUGGGUUCACUGCCGAAGCAAAAGUGCUAAGUACCCCGCCUGGGGAGUAUGGUCGCAAGGCUGAA
RNAcentral lists this ribosomal RNA (331 nucleotides) under uncultured bacterium. RNAcentral's name for it is "bacterial SSU rRNA". It matches the Rfam family "Bacterial small subunit ribosomal RNA", at positions 568 to 898 of the family's 1533-position model. The record is from RNAcentral.